AAAACAUCGCCUUUUGAUAAAAGGUCCAGCCUGCCCAGUGACUCUGUUCAACGGCCGCGGUAUCCUAACCGUGCGAAGGUAGCGUAAUCACUUGUUCUUUAAAUAAGGACUAGUAUGAAUGGCACCACGAGGGUUAUACUGUCUCCUUUUUCUAAUCAGUGAAACUAAUCUCCCCGUGAAGAAGCGAGGAUGAAUUUAUAAGACGAGAAGACCCUAUGGAGCUUUAAACUUAAUAACAAUUGCUAUUUAAGCAUCCUGAUUAUAAGUUUUAGGUUGGGGUGACCGCGGAGUAAAAAACAACCUCCACAUUGAAAGGAUUACUUCCCUUAGCUAAGAACCACAUCUCUAAGCACCAAAAAACUGACAUUAAUUGACCCAUUGAUCAACGAACCAAGUUACCCUAGGGAUAACAGCGCAAUCUACUUCAAGAGCCCCUAUCGACAAGUAGGUUUACGACCUCGAUGUUGGAUCAGGGUAUCCCAGUGGUGCAGCCGCUACUAAAGGUUCGUUUGUUCAACGAUUAAAACCCUACGUGAUCU
This 539-nucleotide ribosomal RNA is filed under the name Melanophryniscus vilavelhensis. RNAcentral describes it as "partial 16S ribosomal RNA". It matches the Rfam family "Bacterial large subunit ribosomal RNA", at positions 1810 to 2606 of the family's 2925-position model. Lineage: Eukaryota; Metazoa; Chordata; Amphibia; Anura; Bufonidae. The record is from RNAcentral.